Molecule: non-coding RNA, 359 nt
Organism: Pelobates cultripes (western spadefoot toad)
Lineage: Eukaryota; Metazoa; Chordata; Amphibia; Anura; Pelobatidae
Source: the annotation of a GenBank genome assembly
UCUAGAUCAUACAUACAUACAUACAUACAUACAUACAAAUCAUAGGUGUAGCCAGAAGAUACAAUGACUGGGAAUGAGAAAUGUUGAUGUAAGCAGAUGGCGAACAGCUAGGGGAUGUGAGGAAACACAUUCUGGACCACCAAUAAGAAGACACAAGAGCCAUAUAAAAGGAGACACUCAGGGGGGAGGGAUGUAUAUUGCUUUUUAUACUGUGAUUGUCUGAUUUGUCUCUUUGUUUGUAUUUAUUUUUAUUCUUGUUGCUGUAACCUUUUGGAGGGUCCCUGAAGAAGCCCUUUGGGGCGAAACAUGUAGGAUUAUUCCUAGCAACUUAUUUUGUUUUGUUUUUAGCAUUUUUAUAC